Molecule: ribosomal RNA, 340 nt
Filed under: uncultured Pseudomonadota bacterium
Lineage: Bacteria; Pseudomonadati; Pseudomonadota
Description: bacterial SSU rRNA
Rfam family: Bacterial small subunit ribosomal RNA
Source: RNAcentral
AACAAACGCUGGCGGCGUGCCUAACACAUGCAAGUCGUACGAGAAAAUCGGUUUCGACCGGUGAGUAAAGUGGCGCACGGGUGAGUAACGCGUGGAUAAUCUGCCCUUUAGUCGGGAAUAACCCGCCGAAAGGUGGGCUAAUACCCGAUAAUACUGCUUAUACUGCGGUUGAGCAGUCAAAGGUAGCCUCUGUUUACAAGCUUCCACUGAAGGAUGAGUCCGCGUACCAUUAGCUAGUUGGUAGGGUAAUAGCCUACCAAGGCGACGAUGGUUAGCUGGUCUGAGAGGAUGAUCAGCCACACUGGAACUGAGACACGGUCCAGACACCUACGGGUGGCUG